UAUCACGGGAGACACACGGCGGGUGCUAACGUCCGUCGUGAAGAGGGAAACAACCCAGACCGCCAGCUAAGGUCCCAAAGUCAUGGUUAAGUGGGAAACGAUGUGGGAAGGCCCAGACAGCCAGGAUGUUGGCUUAGAAGCAGCCAUCAUUUAAAGAAAGCGUAAUAGCUCACUGGUCGAGUCGGCCUGCGCGGAAGAUGUAACGGGGCUAAACCAUGCACCGAAGCUGCGGCAGCGACACUAUGUGUUGUUGGGUAGGGGAGCGUUCUGUAAGCCUGUGAAGGUGUACUGUGAGGUAUGCUGGAGGUAUCAGAAGUGCGAAUGCUGACAUAAGUAACGAUAAAGCGGGUGAAAAGCCCGCUCGCCGGAAGACCAAGGGUUCCUGUCCAACGUUAAUCGGGGCAGGGUGAGUCGACCCCUAAGGCGAGGCCGAAAGGCGUAGUCGAUGGGAAACAGGUUAAUAUUCCUGUACUUGGUGUUACUGCGAAGGGGGGACGGAGAAGGCUAUGUUGGCCGGGCGACGGUUGUCCCGGUUUAAGCGUGUAGGCUGGUUUUCCAGGCAAAUCCGGAAAAUCAAGGCUGAGGCGUGAUGACGAGGCACUACGGUGCUGAAGCAACAAAUGCCCUGCUUCCAGGAAAAGCCUCUAAGCAUCAGGUAACAUCAAAUCGUACCCCAAACCGACACAGGUGGUCAGGUAGAGAAUACCAAGGCGCUUGAGAGAACUCGGGUGAAGGAACUAGGCAAAAUGGUGCCGUAACUUCGGGAGAAGGCACGCUGAUAUGUAGGUGAAGCGACUUGCUCGUGGAGCUGAAAUCAGUCGAAGAUACCAGCUGGCUGCAACUGUUUAUUAAAAACACAGCACUGUGCAAACACGAAAGUGGACGUAUACGGUGUGACGCCUGCCCGGUGCCGGAAGGUUAAUUGAUGGGGUUAGCGCAAGCGAAGCUCUUGAUCGAAGCCCCGGUAAACGGCGGCCGUAACUAUAACGGUCCUAAGGUAGCGAAAUUCCUUGUCGGGUAAGUUCCGACCUGCACGAAUGGCGUAAUGAUGGCCAGGCUGUCUCCACCCGAGACUCAGUGAAAUUGAACUCGCUGUGAAGAUGCAGUGUACCCGCGGCAAGACGGAAAGACCCCGUGAACCUUUACUAUAGCUUGACACUGAACAUUGAGCCUUGAUGUGUAGGAUAGGUGGGAGGCUUUGAAGUGUGGACGCCAGUCUGCAUGGAGCCGACCUUGAAAUACCACCCUUUAAUGUUUGAUGUUCUAACGUGGACCCGUAAUCCGGGUUGCGGACAGUGUCUGGUGGGUAGUUUGACUGGGGCGGUCUCCUCCUAAAGAGUAACGGAGGAGCACGAAGGUUGGCUAAUCCUGGUCGGACAUCAGGAGGUUAGUGCAAUGGCAUAAGCCAGCUUGACUGCGAGCGUGACGGCGCGAGCAGGUGCGAAAGCAGGUCAUAGUGAUCCGGUGGUUCUGAAUGGAAGGGCCAUCGCUCAACGGAUAAAAGGUACUCCGGGGAUAACAGGCUGAUACCGCCCAAGAGUUCAUAUCGACGGCGGUGUUUGGCACCUCGAUGUCGGCUCAUCACAUCCUGGGGCUGAAGUAGGUCCCAAGGGUAUGGCUGUUCGCCAUUUAAAGUGGUACGCGAGCUGGGUUUAGAACGUCGUGAGACAGUUCGGUCCCUAUCUGCCGUGGGCGCUGGAGAAUUGAGGGGGGCUGCUCCUAGUACGAGAGGACCGGAGUGGACGCAUCACUGGUGUUCGGGUUGUCAUGCCAAUGGCACUGCCCGGUAGCUAAAUGCGGAAGAGAUAAGUGCUGAAAGCAUCUAAGCACGAAACUUGCCCCGAGAUGAGUUCUCCCUGACUCCUUGAGAGUCCUGAAGGAACGUUGAAGACGACGACGUUGAUAGGCCGGGUGUGUAAGCGCAGCGAUGCGUUGAGCUAACCGGUACUAAUGAACCGUGAGGCUUAACCUUACAACGCCGAAGGUGUUU
Molecule: ribosomal RNA, 1990 nt
Filed under: Escherichia coli
Lineage: Bacteria; Pseudomonadati; Pseudomonadota; Gammaproteobacteria; Enterobacterales; Enterobacteriaceae
Description: partial 23S ribosomal RNA
Rfam family: Bacterial large subunit ribosomal RNA
Source: RNAcentral